GACGAACGCUGGCGGCGUGCUUAACACAUGCAAGUCGAACGGAAAGGCCCUGCUUUUGUGGGGUGCUCGAGUGGCGAACGGGUGAGUAACACGUGAGUAACCUGCCCUUGACUUUGGGAUAACUUCAGGAAACUGGGGCUAAUACCGGAUAGGAGCUCCUGCUGCAUGGUGGGGGUUGGAAAGUUUCGGCGGUUGGGGAUGGACUCGCGGCUUAUCAGCUUGUUGGUGGGGUAGUGGCUUACCAAGGCUUUGACGGGUAGCCGGCCUGAGAGGGUGACCGGCCAGACGGGGACCAGGAAAGGGCCCAGGGACGGAGGGGAGGGAGGAGUGGGGGAGAUGGGGGAAUGGGCGCGAACCAGAUCCAGCCAUGGCGGGGGAGUGAGGGAGGCGUGCGGGUUGGAAAGCGCGUGCGAGGGGGACGGUGAUGAGGGUACCCGGAGAAGAAGACCCGGCAAACUUCGUG
This 463-nucleotide ribosomal RNA is filed under the name uncultured bacterium. RNAcentral describes it as "partial 16S ribosomal RNA". It matches the Rfam family "Bacterial small subunit ribosomal RNA", at positions 28 to 507 of the family's 1533-position model. The record is from RNAcentral.